UACGAAGGGGGCUAGCGUUGUUCGGAAUUACUGGGCGUAAAGCGCACGUAGGCGGACUAUUAAGUCAGGGGUGAAAUCCCGGGGCUCAACCCCGGAACUGCCUUUGAUACUGGUAGUCUAGAGUCCGGAAGAGGUGAGUGGAAUUCCGAGUGUAGAGGUGAAAUUCGUAGAUAUUCGCAAGAACACCAGUGGCGAAGGCGGCUCACUGGCCCGUAACUGACGCUGAGGCACGAAAGCGUGGGGAGCAAACAGG
This 253-nucleotide ribosomal RNA is filed under the name uncultured bacterium. Its description in RNAcentral is "partial 16S ribosomal RNA". It matches the Rfam family "Bacterial small subunit ribosomal RNA", at positions 524 to 776 of the family's 1533-position model. The record is from RNAcentral.